This 27-nucleotide non-coding RNA is filed under the name Mus musculus (house mouse). The record is from RNAcentral. Lineage: Eukaryota; Metazoa; Chordata; Mammalia; Rodentia; Muridae.
UAACUGAAUCGGUGAACCCAAAGUCAC